GGAAAAAUGGAAAAGCCCAUGGAGAGGGCCCAAAGGUCAUAAAGAAAUGAAAAAUGCCCAAUGGAAAGUUUGUCGUGGAGGCGUGCCGAACGAAGUAUGUGACCAACAAAUAGGAAUAAUUAUAUACGCGUACGAAUCAAUAGUGAAGUAAUAUCCCACUAUUAUGGGGUGAGUAGGGGGUGUCAAUUUUUAAAAUUCCAUAUAUAUAUACAUGUACGUAUAUUUUACGUGAAGUGCAAAAUUUAUGGAAAGCAUGCGUUGAUAGAAUUUUAA
Molecule: non-coding RNA, 273 nt
Organism: Theobroma cacao (cacao)
Lineage: Eukaryota; Viridiplantae; Streptophyta; Magnoliopsida; Malvales; Malvaceae
Source: RefSeq, a predicted model, not a curated record